This 221-nucleotide ribosomal RNA is filed under the name uncultured bacterium. RNAcentral's name for it is "partial 16S ribosomal RNA". It matches the Rfam family "Bacterial small subunit ribosomal RNA", at positions 99 to 334 of the family's 1533-position model. The record is from RNAcentral.
CGGACGGGUGAGUAACGCGUAGGUAUCUAUCGUCCGGGUGGGGGACAACCGUGGGAAACUACGGCUAAUACCGCAUGAUGCCCGAGGGCCAAAGCAGCAAUGCGCCUGGAGAGGAGCCUGCGUACGAUUAGCUUGUUGGCGGGGUAAUGGCCCACCAAGGCGACGAUCGUUAGCUGGUCUGAGAGGAUGAUCAGCCACACUGGGACUGAGACACGGCCCAG